This 494-nucleotide ribosomal RNA is filed under the name uncultured bacterium. RNAcentral describes it as "partial 16S ribosomal RNA". It matches the Rfam family "Bacterial small subunit ribosomal RNA", at positions 29 to 507 of the family's 1533-position model. The record is from RNAcentral.
ACGCACGCUGGCGGCGUGCCUAAUACAUGCAAGUAGAACGCUGAAGGAGGAGCUUGCUUCUCUGGAUGAGUUGCGAACGGGUGAGUAACGCGUAGGUAACCUGCCUGGUAGCGGGGGAUAACUAUUGGAAACGAUAGCUAAUACCGCAUAAGAGUAGAUGUUGCAUGACAUUUGCUUAAAAGGUGCAAUUGCAUCACUACCAGAUGGACCUGCGUUGUAUUAGCUAGUUGGUGGGGUAACGGCUUACCAAGGCGACGAUACAUAGCCGACCUGAGAGGGUGAUCGGCCACACUGGGACUGAGACACGGCCCAGACUCCUACGGGAGGCAGCAGUAGGGAAUCUUCGGCAAUGGACGGAAGUCUGACCGAGCAACGCCGCGUGAGGGAAGAAGGGUUUCGGAUCGUAAAGCUCUGUUGUAAGAGAAGAACGAGUGUGAGAGUGGAAAGUUCACACUGUGACGGUAUCUUACCAGAAAGGGACGGCUAACUACGUG